Molecule: ribosomal RNA, 465 nt
Filed under: Gemella haemolysans
Lineage: Bacteria; Bacillati; Bacillota; Bacilli; Caryophanales; Gemellaceae
Description: bacterial SSU rRNA
Rfam family: Bacterial small subunit ribosomal RNA
Source: RNAcentral
GACGAACGCGGCGGCGUGCCUAAUACAUGCAAGUCGAGCGAAGUUUUUCUGGUGCUUGCACCGGAAAAACUUAGCGGCGAACGGGUGAGUAACACGUAAAGAACCUGCCUCAUAGACUGGGACAACUAUUGGAAACGAUAGCUAAUACCGGAUAACAGCAUUAACUGCAUGGUUGAUGUUUAAAAGUUGGUUUUGCUAACACUAUGAGAUGGCUUUGCGGUGCAUUAGCUAGUUGGUGGGGUAAAGGCCUACCAAGGCGACGAUGCAUAGCCGACCUGAGAGGGUGAUCGGCCACACUGGGACUGAGACACGGCCCAGACUCCUACGGGAGGCAGCAGUAGGGAAUCUUCCGCAAUGGGCGAAAGCCUGACGGAGCAACGCCGCGUGAGUGAAGAAGGAUUUCGGUUCGUAAAGCUCUGUUGUUAGGGAAGAAUGAUUGUGUAGUAACUAUACACAGUAGAGACG